Molecule: ribosomal RNA, 255 nt
Filed under: uncultured bacterium
Lineage: Bacteria
Description: partial 16S ribosomal RNA
Rfam family: Bacterial small subunit ribosomal RNA
Source: RNAcentral
UACGUAGGGGGCUAGCGUUGUCCGGAUUUAUUUGGGCGUAAAGAGCGUGUAGGCGGCCAUGUAGGUCCGGUGUGAAAACUCGAGGCUUAACCUCGAGAUGUCAUCGGAAACCAUUUGGCUAGAGUCCGGAAGAGGAGAGUGGAAUUCCUGGUGUAGCGGUGAAAUGCGCAGAUAUCAGGAAGAACACCAAUGGCGAAAGCAGCUCUCUGGGACGGUACUGACGCUGAGACGCGAAAGCGUGGGGGAGCGAACAGG